AGCAGCCGCGGUAAUUCCAGCUCCAAUAGCGUAUAUUAAAGUUGUUGCAGUUAAAAAGCUCGUAGUUGAAUUUCGGGAUCAAUUAAUUGGUCGUGCCUCUGGUACGUACUGAUUUUAUUGGUUUCUCCCUUCUGACGAACCAUGAUGUCAUUAAUUUGGUGUCGUGGAGAAUCAGGACUGUUACUUUGAAAAAUUAGAGUGUUUAAAGCAAGCUAACGCUUGAAUACAUUAGCAUGGAAUAAUGAAAUAGGACGUUUGAUCCUAUUUUGUUGGUUUCUAGGAUCGACGUAAUGAUUAAUAGGGAUAGUUGGGGGCAUUAGUAUUCAAUUGUCAGAGGUGAAAUUCUUGGAUUUAUUGAAGACUAACUACUGCGAAAGCAUUUGCCAAGGAUGUUUUCAUUAAUCAAGAACGAAAGUUAGGGGAUCGAAGACGAUCAGAUACCGUCGUAGUCUUAACCAUAAACUAUGCCGACUAGGGAUCGGAUGAUGUUAAUUUUUAAUGACUCAUUCGGCGCCUUACG
RNAcentral lists this unclassified non-coding RNA (520 nucleotides) under uncultured Glomus. RNAcentral's name for it is "SSU rRNA". It matches the Rfam family "Eukaryotic small subunit ribosomal RNA", at positions 569 to 1092 of the family's 1831-position model. The record is from RNAcentral. Lineage: Eukaryota; Fungi; Glomeromycota; Glomeromycetes; Glomerales; Glomeraceae.